This 1748-nucleotide long non-coding RNA is filed under the name Homo sapiens (human). Its description in RNAcentral is "HSALNT0229727". The record is from RNAcentral. Lineage: Eukaryota; Metazoa; Chordata; Mammalia; Primates; Hominidae.
GCCUGGGCAUGCGGAACCUCCCGCGCCCGAGAACACUUCCCCGGCCCGGUACCAAGGGAAGGAGGGACGUCAGUAGAGCCCCCGAAGGCCCACUAGAGGGGAUGGAAACUAAGGGCCGAUGGCUGCGAGUCCAUGGUCAGAACUGGACGAUGUCUUCAAAUAAAACGGCGGCAGCGCGACCUCUCGACCUUUGCCCCUGCGCAAUUGUACCCACGACGACGCCCCCCUCCCCGCGCCCCCGCUCCAGGCCCAGUUCUCUCCUUGCCCUAAUCCAAAAUGGCCGUUGCGGCUACAGGCGCCGGCCUUGAAAACCAGCCGCGCAUGCUCCGGCCCCGCCAGGUGAGGCGGCGCAGCUCAGAGCUUCCGCCCGGGUUUGCGGGAACAAAGCAGCGCCCUGCGGAAGGCAGCCCUCGUGAACUCAGAAGUUAGUUUUCGUCUCUGGACCUUUUUAUAAUCGGACUUCAGCCCAUCACUGUCUCGUUUUGUCCUCAGAAACGGCGACAGCAGCCUCUUCCCAAUGUUGAGAGCAAAAAGUGUGAACCCAGAAAUUCCGAGACAGAUCUCAAUUACUUGCCAAGGUUGAGGACGCGCGCGUGACAGCCUCAGGAAGUCCUCACGACAUGUGCCCAAGGUGGUCUGGGCAUAGCUUAGUUUUAUACAUUUUAUGGAGACAUGAGACAUCAAUAAAUGUAUGUAAGAAGUACAUUGGUUCUGUUUGGAAAGGCGGGGCAACUUGAAGCAAAGGCAGGAAGACGUGAAGCAGGAAGGGGGCUUCCAAGAAACAGAAGAGACAAGUGAACAUUUAUUUUUAUGUCUUUCUUCCUAUGUGUAUUUCAAGUCUUUUUCAAAACAAGGCCCCAGGACUCUCCAGAUUCAAUUAUGUCCUUGGGCUUGGUCGACUGCUGCAGGAGUCUUAAGGAGCCUUGUGCAAAUGCUAGAGUGACUCAUUUACCAACAUUAAACCCUAGGAUAGAUGCAACAGAGAAGUACUACUUCCUCCAUGGAAUGUGCUGAUUUCAGGCGACGUGGCACCCAAUGUAGAAAACGCUGGAAUUUUUCCUUGGAACUGGACUGUGAUGAGAGGUGCUUGCCAUGAACAUAAGCUACUGUCUUUUUUUUCUUUUUUUGAGACGGACUUUCACUUUUUUUGCCCAGGCUGGAGUGUAAUGGCGCGAUCUUGGCUCACCGCAACCUCCGCCUCCCAGGUUUGAGUGAUUCUCCUACCUUAGCCUCCUGAGUAGCUGGGAUUACAGGCGUGCGCCACCAUUCCCAGCUAAUUUUUGUAUUUUUAGUAGACACAGUGUUUCUCCAUGUUGGUCAGGCUGGUCUCAAACUCCUGACCUCAGGUGAUACGCCCGCCUCAGCCUCCCAAAGUGUUGGGAUUACUGGCGUGAGGCAUCGUGCCCAGCAAGCUACUGUCUUUUCUUUGACCCUUUCCAGUUUUUGAAGAUAAAGCAGGAAAUAAUCUUCUCUGAAAGUACUUGAUAAAAAUUCCCAAAACAACAAAAACACAUGCUUCCACUUCAUUGAUAAAAAUUUACUGCGGUUUGGCACCUGGGUCUAGUUCAGCUGGCAGAUGAGCUGAUUGAUGCGUUAACCCCCACAGCCAGGUGUUCCUGGCCUACCCCGCUCUGCCCAUGAUGGUACAGAGGAAAAAUGCAAGGUCUGUGCGCCUUGGGACUCUCCUCGUUGCCUGGAUUCUGAGUUGACCUGAUCUGUCACAUGGCCACUUUGUCAGAACUCAUCUG